UACGUAGGGUGCGAGCGUUGUCCGGAAUUAUUGGGCGUAAAGGGCUCGUAGGCGGUUUGUCGCGUCGGGAGUGAAAACCAGGUGCUUAACACCUGGCUUGCUUUCGAUACGGGCAGACUAGAGGUAUGCAGGGGAGAACGGAAUUCCUGGUGUAGCGGUGAAAUGCGCAGAUAUUGGGAGGAACACCAAUGGCGAAGGCAGCACCCUGGGCCGGUACUGACGCUGAGGAGCGAAAGCGUGGGGAGCAAACAGG
This 253-nucleotide ribosomal RNA is filed under the name uncultured bacterium. RNAcentral describes it as "partial 16S ribosomal RNA". It matches the Rfam family "Bacterial small subunit ribosomal RNA", at positions 524 to 776 of the family's 1533-position model. The record is from RNAcentral.